RNAcentral lists this signal recognition particle RNA (99 nucleotides) under Flavobacteriaceae bacterium. RNAcentral's name for it is "signal recognition particle sRNA small type". It matches the Rfam family "Bacteroidales small SRP", at positions 9 to 102 of the family's 107-position model. Rfam says of the family: The non-coding component of the signal recognition particle in Bacteroides Lineage: Bacteria; Pseudomonadati; Bacteroidota; Flavobacteriia; Flavobacteriales; Flavobacteriaceae. The record is from RNAcentral.
CGGCAAGUUCUAUGCAACCAGCUCCUGCCGAGUCCCCCAGGGUGGGAACACAGCAAGGGUAGGUAGUCGUAGCGGUGUGAUGUAGGUCGCUUGCCACUU